Molecule: RNase P RNA, 390 nt
Filed under: Arthrobacter sp. Leaf234
Lineage: Bacteria; Bacillati; Actinomycetota; Actinomycetes; Micrococcales; Micrococcaceae
Also listed under: 1 other name
Description: bacterial RNase P
Rfam family: Bacterial RNase P class A
About the family: Ribonuclease P (RNase P) is a ubiquitous endoribonuclease, found in archaea, bacteria and eukarya as well as chloroplasts and mitochondria. Its best characterised activity is the generation of mature 5'-ends of tRNAs by cleaving the 5'-leader elements of precursor-tRNAs.
Source: RNAcentral
UGGGUCGACCAGGCGGCCGCGUUGAGCCCGCUUGCGGGCCACCGAGGAACGUCCGGGCUCCGCAGGGCAGGGUGGUGGGUAACGCCCACUCGGGGUGACCCGCAGGCCAGUGCCACAGAAAAGAGACCGCUCCCCACCACGCUCCGGCGUGGACGGGAGUAAGGGUGAAAAGGCGGUGUAAGAGACCACCAGCGUGCCGGGUGACCGGUGCGGCUCGGUAAACCCCACCCGGAGCAAGGCCAGACAGUGCGCGUCCGAGGGCUGCCCGCCCGAGUGCACGGGUAGGCCGCUGGAGGGCGUCGGUAACGGCGUCCGUAGAUGGAUGGUCGCCACUCGCACAGCGGCAACGUCGUGCGAUGACAGAACCCGGCGUAUCGGUCGACCCAUCCC